UCGAAGCCUUUUUCAGAAAAUGGCAGCCACAGGUGACGAGGAGGCGUCGGCUGAUAGUUUUUAUCAGCUACUAACCGAAAUGGUACAAAAAUUGUUCUUUGAAAAAGACAUAUCUGAUGAAACACUAAAGGGCAAGCUUUACCCAUCAAUGCCAGAUGCGGAAUUCGCGAAGCUGGUAUCGAAAUGCAGCUCAAUACUGAAGACGCUUCAGGCAACUGACGACGCUCAACUAGAAGCUUUGCUGUCGUCUCUCCAAGCUGCGUCAUCUACGUCAAGCAGAACAAUCAGCAGAGCAUUGAGCCCUGCAGAAGCACAGGCAGUACGUCGUCUCUGGAAGACACACAGGGGAGCCCUGCGCCAAGCUCUAUUAGACAAAGUACGGUGGAACGGGGGCGCCCCCGUUCAGACGACCUGGCAACAAAGAGACACUGGGGCUCCUAUCCAGUGGGCACUUAGCCCAAGCCUACACCUUCAGCUGGAGGAAGACGACGUAAGACGUUUAGUGCACGAAGUCCGUUCUAUACGCCGCGCAUUGCGUUGUGCACAGGGAAGUGGAGAAUAAACAUCGUGUAACACAGCAAUGUGCACUCCACUGCAAUCAUCUCCCCAGCAAAGACGACAAAAAGUCGAGCGUAACUUUUGAACUGUUUUUCUUCUUUUCUUUGUGCCACAUGCACAGACAUACACACAGUUGCAUGGCGAUAAAAUAGAAUUCCCGUUCGUCACCACCUGGGCAGUUCAAACAUAUAACUCGCCCAAUGGCAACACUGACCCACCGGAAGCUGGGCGGCAGGAAAGAAAAAGCUUUGAUUGUUACAUACUUGUUGUCCGAGCUUUUUGUGCUUUAUUUGACAGAGCCGAGAAACCUUGCGCUGUAUGAUAUGUGGAAUUCCUCCCUAGGAUAGUCCAAGGUUAAUGGGGGUUUAAUGGGACUGCCCGACGGGUUACACCACACAUCUUGCGACCCAGAAGCCCAACCAUAAACACAACUGCAACAGGAAUGUACACGGGGGCUACGGGGCUAAGAGGCUGCCCGUACCCUGGCAUCAUAGUCCAAUACCAAGCGCUUGAUGUGGGCCAGUUUAUCGUGCAGGUAUUGAAGCUUGCGCCGAGCUUCUUGGUACCGUUUGUCCUUGAGAUUUUGCUGGUAUUCCUGCAUGAUUUGCUCCCGCACACGCUGGAAGAGAUAACGCCGUCCAAAUGCAUUACUUGAGGGCAUUCAGAUGUUAAUCCAUGUUGCUUGCUAUGGGGUUUCAACCUUUACGACAACCAACAUAUGCCAACCAAUGUGGUAAACUCACAUGCCACUGGUCAGAUCCCUCUUGUGCUUGACGCAGAUUAUCCUCGAGAUCCGAAAAGCGCCGAGACACCUGUUCCACAGUAGAGUGUAAUGUCUUGUAUUCGUGGUACUCCGCAUUGAAGUCUGCCUUGUAGCGGGCACGCUGGUCAGGAUUUGUUAUCGUUACGUACUUCCUGUAAUGAUUAAGAAACAAGGAACCUUGCAUUGGUACUUUGGCAAAGGUACUUUGCAUCGACAUCAUCCGUAUUUCAUCUUCAAAAUCAUACUGAAAGAAUGUUUAAAAGCAAGCAGGCAAACAAACUCGAGACUUGAAUUGCUGGCUAAC
Long non-coding RNA from Ornithodoros turicata, 1625 nucleotides. RefSeq lists it as uncharacterized. The transcript has 3 exons. NCBI's taxonomy places the organism in Eukaryota, Metazoa, Arthropoda, Arachnida, Ixodida, Argasidae. The record is from RefSeq and is a predicted model, not a curated record.